GGGACAGACAGACACAGCGUGUCUGCCAGUGUGGGGCAAUCUGGAGCACACGGCACCAUCCUUUAAGUAUUUUUGCAAAAAAAAAAAAUUGGCUAUAAGUAACAAAAGGAAUUGAGUUAGCAAAUUCCAGAGAAAAUGUAUAGACCAGACAGACUUCAUAGGAAGAGAACAAGAGUCAGGAGAAACAAGGACAGAAGUGUGGAAGGGCGGGCAUUCUUACGACCGCAAAAGGGAAACAAGCCAAGAACAUAGGAAGGCUCCAACUCAGUGGGGUUAAAGGUCAAGAUCUAAGGCCCAUUGUCGACUCCCGGUUACCCUGGCAACAAGGUCCCCACUUCCAUCGAAGGAAUCAUGCAACGAUUAGAAGCAGGGCAACACCUGGCGAGUGACCGAUGGCCCAGGAGGAGUUUGGGAAGGAUUUGAGCAGCAGACCAUGAAUGAAGCCGGCAAGGAGGAGAAUUGAUGCCUGGGGACACUGGACACACUCUACAGAAUUAACCCACUGUGGUAUUUCUGAAAUCAUUCUAUGCCGUAUAUUCAAGAAACAGGUCCUUCCCAUUGGCCUCAGAUUUCACCGUUAGGGAUUCAAGUCUUUGAGUUCUGGAGGCAUUCUCCCUUUGAAGAACCCCCUGUUAAUAGGGCUGACCCUUGGGCCACGCCAGGAUCGUCCUCAGCAAGUUCCAGCCAGUGGACCGCAAGGAGACUGACACGUCGCUUCCGAGCUGAGCCAGUUGAGAGCUGCCGGUGGGAGACGGAGAGAGCUGCUCCAUCUCAGUCCUCCCGACCACACGGACCCCGGGGGCCAUGUGCUCUAAAUGGAGGAGGGCUGCCCGUCCUCACGAGCCUUUAGGUGAGUGAGGAGCCAGCCUGGAUGGCGUUUAACCACCGAGACUCCAGGUUUGUCUGUUAUGGCAGCUGGUGUUAAAUACCCCGACACAUUCAGACCCCAGAGUUAGAAGAGAGCAAAGCAACUUGGUAUAUAGGAAGUGAUGGAAUGUCAUGCUUUCAAUAAAAAGUAAGCUGGCUAACAUUUAGUGAAGUUAUUACGAACCAGACAUCGUUCUAAGAACUCUAUGUUCGUUAAAUCACUUAGUCCGCAUCUUCCGUACCUGUGGGACAGGGAUCUAUUAUCAUCAUUCCCAUCUUACAGAUGGGAAAACAGAGGCACAGAGACGGGCGGUAACUUCCCAAGAUCACACAGCUGGGAAGGGUUGAAGCCAGGAUUUCAGCUCAGACAGCCAGACUCCAGGGUCCACGUGUUCAUCCCUUAUCUAAAGAUGGCCAGCGCAGGAUCCACUGAAAAGCUGCUGUGGGGGUGUGCAGGGCACGCCCGGGAUCUGUCGGGUCCUGCAGUCACAGCGAAGCCGCUGAGGGGGAGGGUGAAGGGGCAAUGGGGGGUGCUCAGGUCUCAGUUACUCCUCAACUGGGUAUCUGUGACAGACUGAGUAACGGCCCCCCAAAGACGCCCACAUCCUGAUCCCCACAGCCUAUAAAUGUGUGACCUUACAUGGCCAAAGGGACUCUGCAGACGUGAUUAAGCCAAGGAUCUCGAGAUGACGGGAUUAUCCUGGAUUCUCUGGGUGGAACCAAUGUCCACACCAGGCUCCUUAGGAGAGGGGGACAGGAGGUCAGGGUGAGAAAAGAUGAUGUGACAACGGAAGCAGAGAGCGAGGUUGGAAGAUGCUACGCUGCUGGCUUUGAGGAUGGAGGAAGGGGCCACAAGCCAAGGAAUGCAGGCAGCCUCUAGAAGGUGGAAAUGGCAAGGGAACAGAUUCUCGCUCGAAGCCUCCAGAAUGAACACAGACCUGCCCACACCUUGGUUUUAGGACUUCUGGCCUCCAGAACCGUAAGAGAAGAAAUCUGUGUUGUUUGAAGUCACCAAGUCUGAGGCCGUCUGUCGCAGCAGCAACAGGACACGCACACAGUGGCCUUGGCAAGGCCCCUUUGAGCUUGCAGGCCUCCAGGGCCUCAUCUGUACGAUAAGGAGAGUGACGUCUUCUCCCUGGCCUGUGGGGAGACUUAAACAAGAUAAUAAAGCGUGAAAAGCCUUGGGAAGUGUCCCACGAAUGAGGAUGGAAUUUCAGUCCACUUCAGCACAUGCGUGACCUCUCUCUGGCUGUUAGCUCUGGGGUCAAUGCUCCUCCUCCCACCACACUCGGUGCUGGGGGAUCUCCUGGCAUGUCCUCCAUGGUCUCCCCCUGCAGACUCAGCUUCUAGAGGAACGGCAGAUGGCUGGCCAGGGGUCAGUGGAUUGGCCAGAGCUCAGGCGGCCGUGGGACAGAACCAGAGUGUCACAUCAGAGAAGACAACAGCUCGUGGUGGCCACUUCUUCCUCUGCAGCUGGCCCGCCCUGUCUACCGGAUCAGGUGGGGUCCUCCAGGUGGCUUGUUAACUAUUGAGGGCACGGGGCAAGCCAGGAAAGCUAAUCGCACCAAGGGGCUCCAGCCAACCCUCAACACACUUGCCUUCCGUUAUGGCCUCUGGCUUCUGCAGAGGGUCAGUCUUCCAGGAGUUCACUCCUCAGCAUUCCAACAGCAUCCAGCACAGCCGGCACAGUUGGCUGCCUACCCACCAGUCACUCCUCCCUUUCUGCCUGCUCCCCCGGAUCCACCCAUUCCCAGGGCAUGAGUUUUGGUUGGUCUAAGCCAG
RNAcentral lists this long non-coding RNA (2649 nucleotides) under Equus caballus (horse). RNAcentral's name for it is "lncRNA (ENSECAG00000051548.1)". The record is from RNAcentral. Lineage: Eukaryota; Metazoa; Chordata; Mammalia; Perissodactyla; Equidae.